AAUCCUGACUCAGGAUGAACGCUGGCGGCGUGCCUAAUACAUGCAAGUCGAACGCACAGCGAAAGGUGCUUGCACCUUUCAAGUGAGUGGCGAACGGGUGAGUAACACGUGGACAACCUGCCUCAAGGCUGGGGAUAACAUUUGGAAACAGAUGCUAAUACCGAAUAAAACUUAGUGUCGCAUGACACAAAGUUAAAAGGCGCUUCGGCGUCACCUAGAGAUGGAUCCGCGGUGCAUUAG
This 240-nucleotide ribosomal RNA is filed under the name uncultured bacterium. RNAcentral's name for it is "partial 16S ribosomal RNA". It matches the Rfam family "Bacterial small subunit ribosomal RNA", at positions 15 to 244 of the family's 1533-position model. The record is from RNAcentral.